This 218-nucleotide small RNA is filed under the name Oryza sativa Japonica Group (Japanese rice). Its description in RNAcentral is "Os05g0186300". Lineage: Eukaryota; Viridiplantae; Streptophyta; Magnoliopsida; Poales; Poaceae. The record is from RNAcentral.
GGGUUUUCAUUUUUAAUUUUUUUUGUGUACCCAUACAUAUACGUAUACGUGUACUGCAUACAUACUAGAGCACCUGAUGGUGCUUGUCGUCGUCGAUUCUUUUGACCGAUUUGAAGUUUGGUAGGGUGUAAUAGCACUUACUUUUGAGUUUUCCACAUUGAGUUGAUUCGGUGUAAUAGGAGUCAAAUUUGAGUUUCUUAUGAUGGUUGUUCAUGAUC